UUCACCACUUGCAGGCAAUGGUGAUUUUCACUUACAUAGAGUACUAAUUUGAUUAAGGAAAAAUCAUGUUCAUUCAUAAUUUUCAUUUUAAAAGUGUAUUGAUUCCUUCUGCAAAUCCAUACUGUCAUGCCUAUUACCCAAUAUCGUCAACGCGGAUAGUUCGUUAGUCGAAAAUACUGAAUAAUUAAACAAACCAAAUGGCAUCACUGGUGGUUCUUUUUUCCACUCCGCUAAACUGUCAUCUCAAACAAAAACAAAUGGAUCAUACAACUGCUAUGAAUACAUUCGACUCGUUUGCUUCCAUCAAUCGGUAAGUGAGAAAGAUGAUUUCUCCCAUCAGUGCGGAUUUCCACUUCUAUCACAGCAGCCAACAACAUCCGUUUUCCUGCAGCAGUAACCUAUAACCCCUGUUGGCAAUGCCGGGGGACAGCAUCAACAGCAGCAGCAGCAGAAUUUGACCAUGGUAUGGUAUUGCGAAGAACUUUCCCCAUUAGAGGUUCCGUGCUUCGCGCACAUUCAAAAUCCUCUUCAGACACGAAAACUCAACGACAAGGAGGUAUUUAUCAACUUGCUCAGCUGAAUUACCACCCGGAGGAACCCGAAUGCACUGAUUCCGUUGUAUAGUAGAAUGAAAAUAGGCGAGGUAAGCGAACGUAAUCGCAUGAUAUUUUAAUAGUUCGCAUUUUUAUCCGGAUCAUACAACUGCUAUGAAUACAUCCGACUCAAUCAAUCGGCGAGUGAGAAAGAUGAUUUCCCUCAUCACCACAUUGCUUAUUUCCACUUCUGUCACGCCAGCCAACAGCAUCAGCUUUCCCGCAGCAGUAUCCUUUAAGUCCAGGGUGCUAUUCCGGGGAACAGCAUCAUCAGUAACAGCAGCAGGACCUGGCCAUCGAUAGUAUUUCGAGCAAUUUUCCCCAUCGGAGAUCCCGUGCUUCACGCACAUUGAAGAAACCUCCUCAGCCACAUAUGUGUGUCAAGGAGAAAAAGGAGCUGGAUUCGAAUCGUCAAUCCAGACAACCCGAAUGCACCGAUUGCAUUAUAUAUCUUGUUUAUAUUUUAUAUGCAUUUUGUGUUUUUUUGAAUAAAAUGAUUAAAAUCGA
Toxorhynchites rutilus septentrionalis is the source of this 1100-nucleotide long non-coding RNA. RefSeq lists it as uncharacterized. The transcript has 3 exons. Lineage: Eukaryota; Metazoa; Arthropoda; Insecta; Diptera; Culicidae. The record is from RefSeq and is a predicted model, not a curated record.